Molecule: ribosomal RNA, 566 nt
Filed under: Penicillium eremophilum
Lineage: Eukaryota; Fungi; Ascomycota; Eurotiomycetes; Eurotiales; Aspergillaceae
Description: LSU rRNA
Rfam family: Eukaryotic large subunit ribosomal RNA
Source: RNAcentral
AUUGCCUCAGUAACGGCGAGUGAAGCGGCAAGAGCUCAAAUUUGAAAGCUGGCCCCUCCGGGGUCCGCGUUGUAAUUUGCAGAGGAUGCUUCGGGCUCAGCCCCCGUCUAAGUGCCCUGGAACGGGCCGUCGGAGAGGGUGAGAAUCCCGUCUGGGACGGGGUGCCUGGGUCCAUGUGAAGCUCCUUCGACGAGUCGAGUUGUUUGGGAAUGCAGCUCUAAAUGGGUGGUAAAUUUCAUCUAAAGCUAAAUACUGGCCGGAGACCGAUAGCGCACAAGUAGAGUGAUCGAAAGAUGAAAAGCACUUUGAAAAGAGAGUUAAACAGCACGUGAAAUUGUUGAAAGGGAAGCGCUUGCGAUCAGACUCGCCUGCGGGGUUCAGCCGGCAUUCGUGCCGGUGUACUUCCCCGUGGGCGGGCCAGCGUCGGUUCGGGUGGCCGGUCAAAGGCCCCGGGAAUGUGUCGCCCUCCGGGGCGUCUUAUAGCCGGGGGUGCCAUGCGGCCUACCUGGACCGAGGAACGCGCUUCGGCUCGGACGCUGGCGUAAUGGUCGUAAGCGGCCCGUCUU